UUUUGGGAUAGACAUGAAAAAUAAAUUAUAAAAUAGGGAUAUUUUUGACAUUAGCAAGUAAUUGACUUAAUUCAGAUUUCUCCAUUAAGUAAAAAGUCAAAAAAAUUAGCUUAUUUUAUUAAGUCAAAAUUAUAUAAAAAGUCUCAUUAAGUUAUAAAAACAAACACCUCUAAUUAACUUAAUUAAUUAAGUUAAGUCACUUUAAGUCAUUAAGUUAAAAAAUAAACGCCACCUUAAUCAUUAACUGGAUUAAGUGAAUUAAGUGGGAGAGAGAACGUGGCGAUCGGCUCAGAGGAGAGAGGAAACAGGUCGGGUCAACCCGUUCACGAAACCUGACUCGAUGCUUCCGAUGCCGGCCACAUCUCCGGAAAUGGAGGGUAUCAACCGAACUCCCAGACGACGCAGUCAUUCCCCCAUCAUCAUUGUUGCCGGAAAACGGCCUAUGACUACCCCACGAACCCGUGUUAAGUCAUGGAGGACGACGACUCAAAUCGGCGAGUUUUUACCGGAUUUCGGUCAUAUCGUCACCUGGGAUUUGUCCUUUAUGGCAGUCACUUCAAUUUCUGACCAUCAACAGUAGCCGAUUUGUCGCCGAUCAGCCAUUGAAGUUUCACGGCUGUCGAAACUCGAUCGGGCACCAUGGCUGCGCGUCGGAGCACACCGCUGCCACCUUUGGAUUCAGAGCGAGCUGAAGUUCCUGUUUUGACUUAUUUGAUCAUUGCCGCUCGAAUUCCGGUCAUCAUUAACCAGCUUAGAAAUUUUAAGGGUAAUUUGGUAAUUUAAAAUUUUGGGAUAUUUUAGUCACUCAUGAAUGAGGAUAUGAUGAUAUCUCAUGAGCGUUUUAUUAUUGGUUUUAGGCCGAUGGUGUAAGACACUUUUGUUACUUAAUCACAAUAAAAAAUAUGUAUCUAUUUUACGUGUUUCAAAAGUUUAUUUUGAUAUGUACGGGGUAUGGAUUUAUAUGGUCUGUCCAUGUAUUUAUGCAAUGUGUUGUUAUGUGUCAAAUAUGAUUUAUAUACAGACAUAUGUAUGUGUGAAAGUUUAUUGGUAUUAACAUGAAUAUGCACUAUGUUUUUUGGAAAAUAAGAAAGUGGAUUCGAGCAAAUUGAUUUUGAAGAAAGAAAGAAAGUUUUUCGAUUUUGCUUAGUUUCUUGAAUUCUUUACUCGCUCAGUGGACACUGUAGAUAUAAUGUUUAAGAGAUAAGUGGGUGGAGGAAGUUUACAUGAAAAUCAAAGUUAUUAAUGUUAAGUGAGAGUCCUAUUGAAUAGUAAUUGAAUUAAGGUAUUUUCAGUAUUUUCAUCACGUCCACGUUGCCAUGAGACACUGCCUCGUGGAGUGCUGUAUUCUUCUCGUUAUUCACCAUCCUAAUCAUCUGCCUGAAAGCUUCAAUCCGG
Molecule: long non-coding RNA, 1395 nt
Filed under: Citrus sinensis (sweet orange)
Lineage: Eukaryota; Viridiplantae; Streptophyta; Magnoliopsida; Sapindales; Rutaceae
Description: long non-coding RNA (CSIN_LNC004390)
Source: RNAcentral